This 376-nucleotide unclassified non-coding RNA is filed under the name uncultured bacterium. RNAcentral describes it as "contains 16S-23S intergenic spacer region". The record is from RNAcentral.
UCCGGCUUAUCACCGGCGGUUUCUUUAGAGUGCCCAACUAAAUGAUGGCAACUAAAGACGAGGGUUGCGCUCGUUGCGGGACUUAACCCAACAUCUCACGACACGAGCUGACGACAACCAUGCACCACCUGUAAACCGACCGCAAGCGGGGCACCUGUUUCCAGGUGUUUCCGGUUCAUGUCAAGCCCAGGUAAGGUUCUUCGCGUUGCGUCGAAUUAAACCACAUGCUCCGCUGCUUGUGCGGGUCCCCGUCAAUUCCUUUGAGUUUUAGCCUUGCGGCCGUACUCCCCAGGCGGGGCACUUAAUGCGUUAGCUACGGCACGGGAGGAGUCGACACCUCCCACACCUAGUGCCCAUCGUUUACGGCUGGGACUAC